Molecule: ribosomal RNA, 228 nt
Filed under: uncultured bacterium
Lineage: Bacteria
Description: partial 16S ribosomal RNA
Rfam family: Bacterial small subunit ribosomal RNA
Source: RNAcentral
GAUCAUUGGCUCAGGACGAACGCUGGCGGCGUGCUUAACACAUGCAAGUCGAACGAGAAUCUGUGGAUAGAGGAUUCGUCCAAGUGAAGCAGAGGACAGUGGCGGACGGGUGAGUAACGCGUGAGGAACCUGCCUUUCAGAGGGGGACAACAGUUGGAAACGACUGCUAAUACCGCAUGAUACAUUUGGGUGGCAUCAUCUGAAUGUCAAAGAUUUAUCGCUGAAAGA